UGCAGCCGAGCGGUAUAGUUUCUUCGGAAACUAGAGAGCGGCGUACGGGUGCGUAACACGUGUGCAACCUACCUUUAUCAGGGGAAUAGCCUUUCGAAAGGAAGAUUAAUACUCCAUAAUAUAUUGAAUGGCAUCAUUUAAUAUUGAAAACUCCGGUGGAUAGAGAUGGGCACGCGCAAGAUUAGAUAGUUGGUGAGGUAACGGCUCACCAAGUCAAUGAUCUUUAGGGGUCCUGAGAGGGAGAUCCCCCACACUGGUACUGAGACACGGACCAGACUCCUACGGGAGGCAGCAGUGAGGAAUAUUGGACAAUGGGUGAGAGCCUGAUCCAGCCAUCCCGCGUGAAGGAUUAAGGUCCUAUGGAUUGUAAACUUCUUUUGUACAGGGAUAAACCUAGAUACGUGUAUCUAGCUGAAGGUACUGUACGAAUAAGCACCGGCUAACUCCGUGCCAGCAGCCGCGGUAAUACGGAGGGUGCAAGCGUUAUCCGGAUUUAUUGGGUUUAAAGGGUCCGCAGGCGGACCGAUAAGUCAGUGGUGAAAUCUCAUAGCUUAACUAUGAAACUGCCAUUGAUACUGUCGGUCUUGAGUAAAUUAGAGGUAGCUGGAAUAAGUAGUGUAGCGGUGAAAUGCAUAGAUAUUACUUAGAACACCAAUUGCGAAGGCAGGUUACCAUGAUUUAACUGACGCUGAGGGACGAAAGCGUGGGUAGCGAACAGGAUUAGAUACCCUGGUAGUCCACGCCGUAAACGAUGCUAACUCGUUUUUGGGGCGCAAGCCUCAGAGACCAAGCGAAAGUGAUAAGUUAGCCACCUGGGGAGUACGUUCGCAAGAAUGAAACUCAAAGGAAUUGACGGGGG
This 859-nucleotide ribosomal RNA is filed under the name Flavobacteriaceae bacterium 26-8PB. Its description in RNAcentral is "bacterial SSU rRNA". It matches the Rfam family "Bacterial small subunit ribosomal RNA", at positions 56 to 919 of the family's 1533-position model. The record is from RNAcentral. Lineage: Bacteria; Pseudomonadati; Bacteroidota; Flavobacteriia; Flavobacteriales; Flavobacteriaceae.